RNAcentral lists this ribosomal RNA (253 nucleotides) under uncultured bacterium. RNAcentral's name for it is "partial 16S ribosomal RNA". It matches the Rfam family "Bacterial small subunit ribosomal RNA", at positions 524 to 776 of the family's 1533-position model. The record is from RNAcentral.
UACGUAGGUGGCAAGCGUUGUCCGGAUUUACUGGGCGUAAAGAGCGCGCAGGCGGUCGUUCAAGUCGCGUGUGAAAGCCCCCGGCUCAACUGGGGAGGGUCACGCGAUACUGAUCGACUCGAAGGCAGGAGAGGGUAGUGGAAUUCCCGGUGUAGUGGUGAAAUGCGCAGAUAUCGGGAAGAACACCCGUGGCUAAGGCGGCUCUCUAGUACGGUACUGACGCUGAGACGCGAAAGCGUGGGGAGCGGACAGG